Long non-coding RNA from Brassica oleracea var. oleracea, 190 nucleotides. RefSeq lists it as uncharacterized. The record is from RefSeq and is a predicted model, not a curated record. The transcript has 3 exons. NCBI's taxonomy places the organism in Eukaryota, Viridiplantae, Streptophyta, Magnoliopsida, Brassicales, Brassicaceae.
GAAAUAGCAGUUAUAUCCAAGGCACGUUCUUCAAUUUAUGGAGUCACCAGAAUACAAUAGGUUUACACAUAUAGUCUUCGAUACUGCUCCCACGGGACAUACUUUGCGGCUUCUUUUUUCUGUCCAAUUUCUAUGAUUCUUCAAUUGGAAAAAUAACAAAGGUUUGAUGAUUCAGUUUUUUAUCCUUUUG